AGUGUGUCAGACAGAGGAACAACAGGGCUGGCAGACAGUUCAGGGCAGACUGGUAAGUCCGAGGAAGGUGGGAGGAAAAUGGGCAUGUCUGCAUAUAUAUCUGCCUCCCAGUCUAUUAAGUCCCCUUCAAAGUCCAGCAGUCCCAGGUACACAAUAAGCUCACCCUCAGCCAUGGUGCAGUGGGCAGAGCUCCUCUCCGCACUCUCGCUGUCCACGGCCUUCUCCCUCGUGGCGAGCAAUGCAGCUGGCUCUCGCACCUGGUCUGAUGUCACUUGAAGCUCGGGCUCCGCGGCGAUCCUCAGCUCUGUCGUUCCGUGCGGCGGGCUCGGGCUUUGGCUCCGUGCAGCGAGGUGAUGGUGGGCUGGGCUCUGGGUCUGGCUGUACUCUGGAUCGGGGCCGGAUGCUCUCCAGACAACGGAUGAUCAACAGGGCGAUGGUAAUUUGCCCCGAUCCAGAAAAGUGAGUUCAGCGCAGCGUCGUCGAAUGCCGUUAAAACGGCGAGUUGGCUGAACUCAACCACAUACUUCAAGAUGGGCAGGUCCUUAUGGGCUACGGCUGUGAAUUUAGCGGCGAGGGGAUCCACUGGGGGGGGAAAAAACAAAACACGGAAAACAAACGGAGGGGAACAUGCAAUAUACUUCUUUUUGUUGGACCAGUGUUCUGUCAGGGUGUCUGCUGUGCAGGAGCGAAGGACGCGGAGACGCAGGAGAUUCAUGAAUAACAGUCUUUAAUUAUCCAAAUAAGGGGGAACACCGGGCAGGCAAGAACACACACGCAGCACAUAGCAUUGAUGUUUAACACUGGACAAGGGAACAUAGGGCAAACCACACUUUAAAUACAGCACGAAACGAGGGUAAUUGAAAAGACACACCUGAAUCAAAUGAACAAUCAACGAGAGACAGAAAAACUGGGUCACUGAGAGCACAUGGGGAGGAAAACAUACACACAGACAGUCCAGAAGCAUGACACCUGAAGGGCUGAGACACACCUGACAUUAUUGUUCAGUUUGACUCAUUAAUGAAGACUGUGUUGCAUCCGUUCUGAAUCUGAAUCACACACACAUGGGAUCGGUGUGUAUUGUUGUCAGUGGAUGAACUCUGCUCAGAUCUUCAGCUCCAGAUUUUUUUCUCUUAAUGACUGAAACAUGUUACAUUACACUCAUUACACUUGAAAUCUACGUGCUGUUGUUUAAUUAAGUUUGUUGUCAUUAAUAUUU
Sinocyclocheilus anshuiensis is the source of this 1216-nucleotide long non-coding RNA. RefSeq lists it as uncharacterized. The transcript has 2 exons. NCBI's taxonomy places the organism in Eukaryota, Metazoa, Chordata, Actinopteri, Cypriniformes, Cyprinidae. The record is from RefSeq and is a predicted model, not a curated record.